This 253-nucleotide ribosomal RNA is filed under the name uncultured bacterium. RNAcentral describes it as "partial 16S ribosomal RNA". It matches the Rfam family "Bacterial small subunit ribosomal RNA", at positions 524 to 776 of the family's 1533-position model. The record is from RNAcentral.
UACAGAGGGGGCAAGCGUUGUUCGGAAUUACUGGGCGUAAAGGGCGCGUAGGCGGCCCGCUAAGUCGAACGUGAAAUCCCCGAGCUCAACUCGGGAACUGCGUCCGAUACUGGCGGGCUUGAAUCCGGGAGAGGGAUGCGGAAUUCCAGGUGUAGCGGUGAAAUGCGCAGAUAUCAGGAGGAACACCGGUGGCGAAGGCGGAUCUCUGGGCCUGUUCUGACGCUGAGGCGCGAAAGCUAGGGGAGCGAACAGG